Molecule: ribosomal RNA, 254 nt
Filed under: uncultured bacterium
Lineage: Bacteria
Description: partial 16S ribosomal RNA
Rfam family: Bacterial small subunit ribosomal RNA
Source: RNAcentral
UACGUAGGGUGCAAGCGUUGUCCGGAAUUAUUGGGCGUAAAGAGCUCGUAGGCGGCUUGUUGCGUCGACUGUAAAAACCCGCGGCUCAACCGUGUGGUCUGCAGUCGAUACGGGCAGGCUAGAGUUCGGUAGGGGAGACUGGAAUUCCUGGUGUAGCGGUGAAAUGCGCAGAUAUCAGGAGGAACACCUAUUGCGAAGGCAGCUCGCUGGGACGUUACUGACGCUGAGACGCGAAAGCGUGGGGAGCAAACAGG